RNAcentral lists this long non-coding RNA (640 nucleotides) under Salmo salar (Atlantic salmon). RNAcentral's name for it is "lncRNA (ENSSSAG00000107545.1)". Lineage: Eukaryota; Metazoa; Chordata; Actinopteri; Salmoniformes; Salmonidae. The record is from RNAcentral.
CUGUUGCUAGGUCAAAUACAUGUCCCCCUGACCCUUCUGUUGGACAUACUGUUGCUAGGUGAAACACAUGUCCCUAUGACCCUUCUGUUGGACUUACUGUUGCUAGGUCAAAUACAUGUCCCCCUGACCCUUCUGUUGGACAUACUGUUGCUCGGUCAAAUACAUGUCCCCCGGACCCUUCUGUUGGACAUACUGUUGCUAGGUCAAAUACAUGUCCCCCUGACCCUUCUAUUGGACAUACUGUUGCUAGGUCAAAUAAAUGUCCCCACUGACCCUUCUGUUGGACAUACUGUUGCUAGGUGAAAUACAUGUCCCUACGACCCUUCUGUUGGACUUACUGUUGCUAGGUCAAAUACAUGUCCCCUGACCCUUCUAUUGGACAUACUGUUGCUAGGUCAAAUAAAUGUCCCCACUGACCCUUCUGUUGGACAUACUGUUGCUAGGUCAAAUACAUGUCCCCCUGACCCUUCCGUUGGACAUACUGUUGCUAGGUAAAAUACAUGUCCCCCUGACCCUUCUGUUGGACAUACUGUUGCUAGGUCAAAUAGAUGUCCCCCGGACCCUUCUGUUGCUAGGUCAAAUACAUGUCCCCCGAUCCUUCUGUUGGACAUACUGUUGCUAGGUCAAAUACAUGUCCCCC